Molecule: ribosomal RNA, 305 nt
Filed under: uncultured bacterium
Lineage: Bacteria
Description: bacterial SSU rRNA
Rfam family: Bacterial small subunit ribosomal RNA
Source: RNAcentral
ACCUACGGGAGGCAGCAGUGAGGGAUAUUGGUCAAUGGGGGAAACCCUGAACCAGCAACGCCGCGUGAGGGAAGACGGUUUUCGGAUUGUAAACCUCUGUCCUCUGUGAAGAUGAUGACGGUAGCAGAGGAGGAAGCUCCGGCUAACUACGUGCCAGCAGCCGCGGUAAUACGUAGGGAGCAAGCGUUAUCCGGAUUUACUGGGUGUAAAGGGAGCGCAGACGGCAGUGCAAGUCUGGAGUGAAAGCCCGGGGCCCAACCCCGGAACUGCUCUGGAAACUGUGCGGCUAGAGUACUGGCGGGGCG